UCUCCUGGAAACGGGUGGUAAUGCCGGAUGCUCCAUCACACCGCAUGGUGUGUUGGGAAAGCCUUUGCGGCAUGGGAUGGGGUCGCGUCCUAUCAGCUUGAUGGCGGGGUAACGGCCCACCAUGGCUUCGACGGGUAGCCGGCCUGAGAGGGCGACCGGCCACAUUGGGACUGAGAUACGGCCCAGACUCCUACGGGAGGCAGCAGUGGGGAAUAUUGCACAAUGGGCGCAAGCCUGAUGCAGCGACGCCGCGUGAGGGAUGGAGGCCUUCGGGUUGUAAACCUCUUUUGUUAGGGAGCAAGGCACUUUGUGUUGAGUGUACCUUUCGAAUAAGCACCGGCUAACUACGUGCCAGCAGCCGCGGUAAUACGUAGGGUGCAAGCGUUAUCCGGAAUUAUUGGGCGUAAAGGGCUCGUAGGCGGUUCGUCGCGUCCGGUGUGAAAGUCCAUCGCUUAACGGUGGAUCCGCGCCGGGUACGGGCGGGCUUGAGUGCGGUAGGGGAGACUGGAAUUCCCGGUGUAACGGUGGAAUGUGUAGAUAUC
Molecule: ribosomal RNA, 542 nt
Filed under: Bifidobacterium breve
Lineage: Bacteria; Bacillati; Actinomycetota; Actinomycetes; Bifidobacteriales; Bifidobacteriaceae
Description: bacterial SSU rRNA
Rfam family: Bacterial small subunit ribosomal RNA
Source: RNAcentral